This is a long non-coding RNA of Cimex lectularius (bed bug), 387 nucleotides long. RefSeq lists it as uncharacterized. The transcript is spliced from 3 exons. The record is from RefSeq and is a predicted model, not a curated record. NCBI's taxonomy places the organism in Eukaryota, Metazoa, Arthropoda, Insecta, Hemiptera, Cimicidae.
AUUUCUUAUUUCCACCUCAUAAAAAAUCAGAGGAUUUUUUCUUGAUUGUUUUGAUUGACCCCUUGUGGCCAAUCUGUUUUCCCUCGACGUCAUCUACGCAUCCUAUUAUGCAUUUUCCUCCUGCGAAUAAGCCAACAACUGAUUUCCGUUUUGUCCUUUGUCCUGCCGCCCCUGCCAGGACUCCGAGUUCCUCUGCUCGUAUAGUACAAGAGAUAUCUGUGGUGGGGAGCUGGAAAUACGAUCUCGCCUCCUGCGCCGCACUUCAUCCUGCGCGCUUCGUGAGCUCGCUUGUGCUUUUGACUUUCUGACGUUCAGUGUUGUUUAUUCGAGACUGGGUUGUUCUUGCCUGGAUUCUAUCGCCUGCGUAUACACGCGUACAAAAAGGCA